GAUUUUGUUCCUGGCUCAGGACGAACGCGGGGGGCGUGUUUAACACAUGCAAGUAGAAGAGAAAGCCCCUGCUGGCAGGGUACUCGAGGGGCGAAGGGGUGAGUAACAAGUGGUUUUUCCCCCCUUCAUUUAGGGAUAACCGUGGGAAAGUGGUUUUAAUGCUGGAUAGGCCCAUCGUUUAGGUUGGGGGGUGAAAAGUUUUUCGGUGCAGGAUGAGCUCGCGGCCUAUCAGCUUGUUGGUGGGGUAAUGGCUUACCAAGGCUUCGACGGGUAGCCGGCCUGAGAGGGUGACCGGCCACAUUGGGACUGAGACACGGCCCAGACUCCUACGGGAGGCAGCAGUGGGGAAUAUUGCACAAUGGGCGCAAGCCUGAGCAGCGACGCCGCGUGGGGGAUGAAGGCCUUCGGGUUGUAAACCCCUUCAGACCAGACGAAGCGAUAAGUGACGUUAGUGGAGAUAAUGCC
RNAcentral lists this ribosomal RNA (465 nucleotides) under uncultured bacterium. RNAcentral describes it as "bacterial SSU rRNA". It matches the Rfam family "Bacterial small subunit ribosomal RNA", at positions 9 to 492 of the family's 1533-position model. The record is from RNAcentral.